GUCUUUCUUUUUAUCACAAAGCAGGGCAGACAGCAAGCGGUGAAACGUAAGCAAGAAGUACGGACACUGGAUGAAGCGCACGGCAGUGACGUUGCUUGCGUUAUCUGUUGCGUUGGCGUCUUAUCAAGAUUGUCGUCAAUACCGGACAACGAUUACGGCUAUGGACAACAGCACAUGUAUUUCAAAGUACUACAGGGGAUUAUUUGAUGGCUACAGCUUGGAUCCUAUUCC
Molecule: non-coding RNA, 231 nt
Organism: Dermacentor albipictus
Lineage: Eukaryota; Metazoa; Arthropoda; Arachnida; Ixodida; Ixodidae
Source: RefSeq, a predicted model, not a curated record